GGACCGAUUUUUUUGUUUUUUUUUUAAUUUUUGUUUACAAAAAUUUACAAUUGGACUAACUUAUUUGCCGUUUUAUGACUUAUUUGUCGUUUUAAACCCAAACCUGAGCGCCAUAAGUUAUGUCACCGAGCUCACACGCCUCGACGUCACAGUUUUUAGCGUCGAGCUUAUCGACGUGGCAGCGCACAUGGCAACCUAGCUCCACGUCACGGAUCUUGACACCGAGCUUACCGACGUGGCAGGGCACGUGGCAAUCUAGCUCGGCGCCACAGAUCUUGACGUCGAGCUUACCGACAUGGCAGCGCACGUGGCAACCUAGCUCCGCGUCACAGAUAUUGACGCCGAGCUAGAUCCUGACGUCGAGCUUACCGACGUGGUAGCGCACGUGGCAACCUAGCUCCGCGUCACAGAUCUUGACGCCGAGCUAGAUCUUGACACUGAGUUUACCGACGUGACAACGCACGUGGCAACCUAGCUCGGCGCCACAAAUCUUGACGUCGAGAUUACCGACGUGGCAGCGCACAUGGCAACUUAGCUCCGCGUCACAGAUCUUGACGUCGACCUAGAUCUUGACGCCGAGCUUACCAACGUGGCAGCGCACGUGACAACCUAGCUUGGCGCCGCAGAUCUUGACGUCGAGCUAGGAUUUAUACUCGGCGCUCGUCUUCUUUCUCUCCUUAUCUUCCUUCCUCCAGACGUCCCGUGCAUCCACCGCCGCCCCGCCCGCCGAGCCGCCGCCCCGCCAUCGCUCUCGCCGAUGGCGGCUCGCCAUCGCCGCCCUCCGUCCAUGACCUCGACUUCGACCACGAGAUUGAGGAGCUAAACCGGCUAUAAUCGUCGCCUCCGGUUCCUCAACGACUGCAAAUCUGCAAUCCACCAACCAAAAGUGCGAGCACGGAACAAACCAGAGACGCCGGAGAGGCGGGAGAGCGGGAGAGGUCGAGAGGAUCAGAAGCACCAGCAAAUGCAACAGCGAGCAAAUAUUGCACGCGUUUGUCCCUGUAGCACCUCCUCUCUCG
RNAcentral lists this long non-coding RNA (1019 nucleotides) under Zea mays. RNAcentral's name for it is "drought responsive lncRNA". Lineage: Eukaryota; Viridiplantae; Streptophyta; Magnoliopsida; Poales; Poaceae. The record is from RNAcentral.